CUGGUCUUGACAUCCACAGAACUUUCCAGAGAUGGAUUGGUGCCUUCGGGAACUGUGAGACAGGUGCUGCAUGGCUGUCGUCAGCUCGUGUUGUGAAAUGUUGGGUUAAGUCCCGCAACGAGCGCAACCCUUAUCCUUUGUUGCCAGCGGUCCGGCCGGGAACUCAAAGGAGACUGCCAGUGAUAAACUGGAGGAAGGUGGGGAUGACGUCAAGUCAUCAUGGCCCUUACGACAGGGCUACACACGUGCUACAAUGGCGCAUACAAAGAGAAGCGACCUCGCGAGAGCAAGCGGACCUCAUAAAGUGCGUCGUAGUCCGGAUUGGAGUCUGCAACUCGACUCCAUGAAGUCGGAAUCGCUAGUAAUCGUAGAUCAGAAUGCUACGGUGAGUACGUUCCC
RNAcentral lists this ribosomal RNA (399 nucleotides) under uncultured bacterium. Its description in RNAcentral is "bacterial SSU rRNA". It matches the Rfam family "Bacterial small subunit ribosomal RNA", at positions 975 to 1375 of the family's 1533-position model. The record is from RNAcentral.